RNAcentral lists this ribosomal RNA (505 nucleotides) under uncultured Sulfurimonas sp. RNAcentral's name for it is "bacterial SSU rRNA". It matches the Rfam family "Bacterial small subunit ribosomal RNA", at positions 8 to 526 of the family's 1533-position model. The record is from RNAcentral. Lineage: Bacteria; Pseudomonadati; Campylobacterota; Epsilonproteobacteria; Campylobacterales; Sulfurimonadaceae.
AGAGUUUGAUCCUGGCUCAGAGUGAACGCUGGCGGCGUGCUUAACACAUGCAAGUCGAACGGUAACAGGAAGUAGCUUGCUACUUUGCUGACGAGUGGCGCACGGGUGAGUAAUAUAUAGUUAAUGUGCCUCGAAGACUGGGAUAGCCACUGGAAACGGUGAUUAAUACUAGAUACACCUUUUUGACUUAAGUCAGGAAGGGAAACGUUUUUUCGCUUCGAGAUCAGACUAUAUCCUAUCAGUUAGUUGGUGAGGUAAUGGCUCACCAAGGCGAUGACGGGUAGCGGGUUUGAGAGGAUGAUCCGCACACUGGUACUGAGACACGGACCAGACUCCUACGGGAGGCAGCAGUGAGGAAUAUUGCACAAUGGGGGGAACCCUGAUGCAGCAACGCCGCGUGGAGGAUGACGCAUUUCGGUGUGUAAACUCCUUUUAUAUGUCAAGAAAAUGACGGUAGCAUAUGAAUAAGCACCGGCUAACUCCGUGCCAGCAGCCGCGGUAAUAC